CCCGACACCUCCGCUGCCUCCUCUGUUUCUUUCAACAGCCUUACCGUCCACCCCCUUCCUCAUAGCUGUCUCCUCCGCGCUGUCCCCGCCUCUUCCAACGCCAUCCUCCGCAAGUAAGCCGUCGGUUGCACGCUGCUCAUCCACGGCGGCGCCGCCACCACCUACUGCUAUUCUCCCCUGAUGCGCUACACGGCUUGUUCUGUUGUGAUGGUUGAGGUGGAGGUGCUAUGCUGGACUACUUCCUCUCCAUCUCUUAUCUCUUCCCGUCUACAUUCUUUUAUAUACAACUUCUGGUCAGAUCUCUAGCCGCCAGACCCUAACCAAGGAUGGGAGUAGUGUGAGCGUAUUUGCAAUUUUGCUUGGCUACCUGUAAACGCUCAACUCAAUGCACUAGGAAGAAUCAAAUCUUUUUUUGCCUUAGUAUCUGGGGAUGUUUUGAGAAUAGAACAAGAAUUGAUUGUUUCUUACUUUUCAUUCCAGCAAUUCUUCUGUACAAAUAAGAUAUAACCACUGAGUUUACAAUGACAGCCAAAUAGGCUGCAUUAUUUAGAUUAACAUAUAAUGGUGAAUUGGUUGUAGUUAAAAAUGUAAAGUAUUAGUUCCUUUGGGGCAGUUAAGUUUGAUUGGAUAAUCUGAUUUUACUGAUAGAUGGUAAAAAAAGCAUGUUUUUCUUUGUUUAAUAUUCACCCUGGUAUCUCGGGUGCCUUUUAAUCAGAAUUUGGACACAGGAUAAUAUUUGUUCUUUUCCACUUAUUUUUUCAACAACAGGUGUUGAUAUAUAUGGUCAAGGUUUACUAGAAUAGCACACUGAUAUAUACCAACAAUAUGUAACUUGGGAUUAAGUUUGGAGAAAAUACAACACCUGGGUGGUCCAGGUAGCUUGUUAGUAGUUACCACUGUAAUGUAUUCGUUGCAUAGCCUGAAGCUUUUUAUUCUUUGGCAUUCUGGUUUAGUGUUGAUUAGACUAGGAAAUCAAGAUUUCAAUAUACAUAAAGGCAUGAUUUUCAAACUCUGCUGGCCUUUUAGGAUUACGAUACAUUGAAACAGAGGAUAAUGCCUGCCCUUGAUAUAUUGUCUUCUCUCCUACGUGUUGUCUCCUAAUUUUUGCUACCUAUUCCAGCUUCGUAUGGAACUUCACUGUACUUGAUUCUGUGGUGGAUCAACUUGUUUUAGAAGAGUUGGUUAGACAGAAAUUCUCCAAGCUAGGUUUGUUAUAUUUCCCUUUAUAUAAAAUCGCAUGACUUCGUCAGGCAUAUGCACAUAUAUACUUAGUAUCAACUCAAACUACACUUGGAUUUUUUGUUUUCACCAAAUCACUGAAAUUUUGAAAAAUGAUGAUUUACAUGGCAGGUCAAAAAGAUAUUCGAUAAGCUUAGGAGUUUCCAGGAGAAACCCUUGGAUUUAGGUGUGAAGCUGAAGAACUACAAGGUCAAGAACGCAGCAGGUCUUAAGCCCCAAACUGCAAGGGCUCGAAGUGGAGCCAGAGAUGACGAGACCGAAUUAGAUUUUUUUGCAUUAUAUGGUGUCUUGGCAGAUUUAGAUUCCUAUUAAAAAUGAUACCAUUUUGUUUAUGUUGACUACUAUUUCGUGGUUGCAAGGCAACAACCGCUAGAACAUAUUCUGUAAUUUAGCAUGUUCAGCGCAGUCUGGUUGUGAGUAGAUGUAUUUUAGAUUAGGAAUAUGUGUGCUUGUGGGCACUUGCAGUUUAGCAUUUCGUCAAAUAUUGCUCAGUUGUUCUCCUGUAAUUAUUUGAUUACUAUUCGACCUACAUCACUUGCAAAUAUUUAUGUUGCUAAUUUUCCUUUUUUUGGUAGGUUCAACGAGAAGUCGGUAUAUGAUCUAAAUGUUUGGCUUAGAAGAAGGAUUUUAUUGGUUGGAAACCGUAUGUUUGAUUGUGCUAAAUGUGUACCUAUCAACUAUAUGACAUCGAUUUGAUCAAUGUCUAGGUACAUUCUUGUGUUUUCUAUAUUUUGUGAU
Molecule: long non-coding RNA, 1977 nt
Filed under: Triticum aestivum (bread wheat)
Lineage: Eukaryota; Viridiplantae; Streptophyta; Magnoliopsida; Poales; Poaceae
Description: long non-coding RNA (TAES_LNC026647)
Source: RNAcentral